This 497-nucleotide ribosomal RNA is filed under the name uncultured bacterium. RNAcentral describes it as "partial 16S ribosomal RNA". It matches the Rfam family "Bacterial small subunit ribosomal RNA", at positions 28 to 507 of the family's 1533-position model. The record is from RNAcentral.
GACGAACGCUGGCGGCGUGCCUAAUACAUGCAAGUAGAACGCUGAAGAGAGGAGCUUGCUCUUCUUGGAUGAGUUGCGAACGGGUGAGUAACGCGUAGGUAACCUGCCUUGUAGCGGGGGAUAACUAUUGGAAACGAUAGCUAAUACCGCAUAACAAUGGAUGACACAUGUCAUUUAUUUGAAAGGGGCAAUUGCUCCACUACAAGAUGGACCUGCGUUGUAUUAGCUAGUAGGUGAGGUAAUGGCUCACCUAGGCGACGAUACAUAGCCGACCUGAGAGGGUGAUCGGCCACACUGGGACUGAGACACGGCCCAGACUCCUACGGGAGGCAGCAGUAGGGAAUCUUCGGCAAUGGGGGCAACCCUGACCGAGCAACGCCGCGUGAGUGAAGAAGGGUUUCGGAUCGUAAAGCUCUGUUGUAAGUCAAGAACGGGUGUGAGAGUGGAAAGUUCACACUGUGACGUUAGCUUACCAGAAAGGGACGGCUAACUACGUG